This is a non-coding RNA of Pogona vitticeps (central bearded dragon), 1184 nucleotides long. Lineage: Eukaryota; Metazoa; Chordata; Lepidosauria; Squamata; Agamidae. The record is from RefSeq and is a predicted model, not a curated record.
CAGCUUUGUACAGCUUCGUCCUCUCUUCUACUAAGUGCUCCAGGUUCCGUGAAUACAUCUGCAGACGUCGGAUUAAGACAUGCAUGUUCUUCCUAUCAAAUGAUAAUAAAACAUCUAAUUUCCAGAAAGAUUACAGAACCAUUUUGACAGAAAGAUGCCUCCUCACAAGAAGAGAUACCUAAGAAUGCAUGAUCCCAAAGCAGACUGUUUUUCUUCCCAUCAUGGAAUAUUAAAACAACACUCCCCCUGAUUUUCAGAAUCUUCUUUCCUCACUCAUCCAACCUAAAUCAUGAAUUCUCAAGCCAUCAAAACCACUUUUUGUCAUACUGUCUCAGGGGCUUCUGGUUUUACCUUUCAAUCUAGUUCUGCAAUCCACAGUAAUACAUGCCCCCAUCUAUCGGCGUGUGAUGGGUUGCUGCUGGUUGUGGGCACGUAGGAAAAUGCACUAGUACAGAACUAGAUGUCCAUCUAAACCAGUAGUGUAUACGUCUACCACCACAUUCUUCAUAGCAACCUGGUAUACCCUGCAUUUUGCAUAUACUCUGUGAUGUACCUUUAGAACACAAUUUGGCAAGUUGUGGUCUUUCAGAUAUUGUUGGGUUGCAAUGUCCAGCAAGCCCAGCCACCAUAGCAAAUGAUACCGGAGGAUAGGAAUGUAGCUCCAGAACAUCUGGAGUGCUACAAGGUGCUCAUCCCUGACACAGAGCCUUAGUCUUAAAGUUCAACAGUGGAUUCAUCCAGCUGGAGCAUUUGUUCCUCCUCACUGAGUAGCAAAUGCUGUAACUUACUGCCAACUGACUGCAUUUCUGUCUAUAUUUUUAUUCUUAAAAUCCCAUUUCUUUUCUAAGAAGUCAGUGUAUCUUUAAGAAACAGAUCAAAAUAUUAUUAAACCUUGGAAAAUGCUUGUAAAAACCUUUAAAACCCUGUGACACAAGAGUGUCCCUGGAACUUUCGCCCCUUUGCUUUAAAUAGAUCUACACUACAUUUAAAGCAACUGACACUGGCAGAUAUCUGCUGCUCAUUCACCUCAGAAAUAAUCUGUCUUCAAAAAUAGUGCUUCUAAAAAUGUGGAGGAAACAAAUUGCCUGCUGGAUUUUUGUAGGGUUUUGGAUUGUGUAAGUGAAAUACUGCAAAACUGAAUCUUCUGAAACAGCAGACAUUCACUGUUAAUCCACUUUGGAAAU